Molecule: ribosomal RNA, 253 nt
Filed under: uncultured bacterium
Lineage: Bacteria
Description: partial 16S ribosomal RNA
Rfam family: Bacterial small subunit ribosomal RNA
Source: RNAcentral
UACGUAGGUGGCAAGCGUUGUCCGGAUUUACUGGGUGUAAAGGGCGUGUAGCCGGGCUGACAAGUCAGAUGUGAAAUCCGGGGGCUCAACCCCCGAACUGCAUUUGAAACUGUUGGUCUUGAGUAUCAGAGAGGCAGGCGGAAUUCCUAGUGUAGCGGUGAAAUGCGUAGAUAUUAGGAGGAACACCAGUGGCGAAGGCGGCCUGCUGGACGACAACUGACGGUGAGGCGCGAAAGCGUGGGGAGCAAACAGG